GCAACAAGAUGCAGAUUUUCGUUAAGACAUUGACGGGUAAGACCAUCACCCUUGAGGUUGAGCCUUCUGAUACCAUCGAAAAUGUUAAGGCGAAAAUCCAAGACAAGGAAGGUAUUCCUCCCGACCAGCAACGUUUGAUUUUUGCUGGUAAACAGCUGGAAGACGGACGCACUUUAUCUGAUUACAACAUUCAGAAAGAGUCUACGCUUCACUUGGUAUUGCGUCUACGGGGUGGUGUUAUUGAGCCCUCACUCCGUAUCUUGGCACAGAAAUACAACUGUGACAAAAUGAUUUGUCGCAAGUGCUACGCUCGUCUUCAUCCCAGGGCAACCAACUGCCGCAAGUCGAAGUGUGGUCAUACUAACAAUUUGCGCCCCAAAAAGAAGCUGAAAUAAGUGUAUUCUCGGGCAUCUUGCUUGGAAAUGAAAAUGAAAUACAAAAUUUUCAAUGAAGUUCGGAAUAUACCUAAAACAAAAUGUGAGGGUAUACAUCUACAGACAACAGUUUAUUGUUACUUACUUGCGUCAUGAAUGGCCUUCGUUUCUUUUCUUGAAUGCAAGAUAACGCUAUAGAGUGCAAAGUUGAAGCCAUGUUCUCUGGCAAUGGAACUAUCUUAGGGUCUAAUAAAUGAAUAAAGUUGA
This is an RNA transcript of Daphnia magna, 641 nucleotides long. It is a transcript of the gene named ubiquitin-60S ribosomal protein L40, with no coding region annotated. The transcript has 3 exons. The record is from RefSeq and is a predicted model, not a curated record. Lineage: Eukaryota; Metazoa; Arthropoda; Branchiopoda; Diplostraca; Daphniidae.